GCCUUCGGGGUGUAGUGGUCAGCACGCUCGACGAGUAACCGAGAGGUCCGCGGUUCGAUUCCCGGCGAUGGCG
RNAcentral lists this transfer RNA (73 nucleotides) under Stegodyphus mimosarum. It matches the Rfam family "tRNA". From Rfam's summary of the family: Transfer RNA (tRNA) molecules are approximately 80 nucleotides in length. Their secondary structure includes four short double-helical elements and three loops (D, anti-codon, and T loops). Further hydrogen bonds mediate the characteristic L-shaped molecular structure. tRNAs have two regions of fundamental functional importance: the anti-codon, which is responsible for specific mRNA codon recognition, and the 3' end, to which the tRNAs corresponding amino acid is attached (by aminoacyl-tRNA synthetases). tRNAs cope with the degeneracy of the genetic code in two manners: having more than one tRNA (with a specific anti-codon) for a particular amino acid; and 'wobble' base-pairing, i.e. permitting non-standard base-pairing at the 3rd anti-codon position. Lineage: Eukaryota; Metazoa; Arthropoda; Arachnida; Araneae; Eresidae. The record is from Rfam by way of RNAcentral.